CGCAUCUGUGCAUGCAGCAUAUCAAUAAGCGGAGGAAAAGAAACUAACAAGGAUUCCCUUAGUAACGGCGAGUGAAGCGGGAAGAGCUCAAAUUUGAAAUCUUCAAGGUUUUACCUUGACGAAUUGUAGUUUAAAGAAGUGUUUUCUGUUGAAGUUUUGGUAAAAGUUCUUUGGAAUAGGACAUCAUAGAGGGUGAGGAUCCCGUAUUUGACCAUUAUUUUCAGCUGUGUGAUACACUUUCAAAGAGUCGGAUUGUUUGGGAAUGCAGUCCAAAAUGGGUGGUAAAUUUCAUCUAAAGCUAAAUAUUGGCGAGAGACCGAUAGCGAACAAGUACCGUGAGGGAAAGAUGAAAAGAACUUUGAAAAGAGAGUUAAACAGUACGUGAAAUUGUCAAAAGGGAAGCGUUUGACACCAGUGUUGUUUUCUCGAAAAUCAAUUAAAAAGAGUUAGAUUUUGUUGUGUAUUGACCUUAACAGCUUGCAUUUCAAUUUUCUUGCUUUUUUUAAUGCACUUUUCGUUUAACAAGUCAACAUCAGUUUCUUUUGUUGUAAAAAGGUCAUUGGAAGGUGGCUUUCUUUUCGGAGAAAGUGUUUAUAGCCUUUGACUCCUGCAAUCGGAGAGACUGAGGUCUGCAGCGUAGAUCCUUCGGGGUUAGAUACAUUUGUGCUAAGUUAUAGCUUUUUAUAGACAACUUGUUGACUAUGAUUAGUCUUGUAGCUUACUCGCUUAUGCUAUUUUACCUACGCUUAGGAUGUUGACACACGCGCGUGCUCG
Molecule: ribosomal RNA, 774 nt
Filed under: uncultured Neocallimastigales
Lineage: Eukaryota; Fungi; Neocallimastigomycota; Neocallimastigomycetes; Neocallimastigales
Description: partial large subunit ribosomal RNA
Rfam family: Eukaryotic large subunit ribosomal RNA
Source: RNAcentral